UAGGGAAUCUUCCGCAAUGGACGCAAGUCUGACGGAGCAACGCCGCGUGAGUGAAGAAGGAUUUCGGUUCGUAAAACUCUGUUGUUAGAGAAGAACAGCGCAUAGAGUAACUGUUAUGCGUGUGACGGUAUCUAACCAGAAAGCCACGGCUAACUACGUGCCAGCAGCCGCGGUAAUACGUAGGUGGCAAGCGUUGUCCGGAUUUAUUGGGCGUAAAGCGAGCGCAGGCGGUCAAUUAAGUCUGAUGUGAAAGCCCCCGGCUCAACCGGGGAGGGUCAUUGGAAACUGGUUGACUUGAGUGCAGAAGAGGAGAGUGGAAUUGCAUGUGUAGCGGUGAAAUGCGUAGAUAUAUGGAGGAACACCAGUGGCGAGGGCGACUCUCUGGUCUGUAACUGACGCUGAGGCUCGAAAGCGUGGGUAGCAAGCAGG
Molecule: ribosomal RNA, 429 nt
Filed under: Bacteroidota bacterium
Lineage: Bacteria; Pseudomonadati; Bacteroidota
Description: Bacteroidetes bacterium partial 16S ribosomal RNA
Rfam family: Bacterial small subunit ribosomal RNA
Source: RNAcentral